GACGAACGCUGGCGGCGUGCUUAACACAUGCAAGUCGAACGGAAAGGCCCUGCUUUUGUGGGGUGCUCGAGUGGCGAACGGGUGAGUAACACGUGAGUAACCUGCCCGUGACUUUGGGAUAACUUCAGGAAACUGGGGCUAAUACCGGAUAGGAGCUCCUGCUGCAUGGUGGGGGUUGGAAAGUUUCGGCGGUUGGGGUUGGACUCGCGGCUUAUCAGCUUGUUGGUGGGGUAGUGGCUUACCAAGGCUUUGACGGGUAGCCGGCCUGGGAGGGUGACCGGCCACAUUGGGCCUGAGAUACGGCCCGGACUCCUACGGGAGGCAGCAGUGGGGAAUAUUGCACAAUGGGCGGAAGCCUGAUGCAGCAACGCCGCGUGCGGGAUGACGGCCUUCGGGUUGUAACCCGCUUUCGCCUGUGACGAAGCGUGAGUGACGGUAAUGGGUAAAGAAGCACCGGCUAACUACGUG
Molecule: ribosomal RNA, 468 nt
Filed under: uncultured bacterium
Lineage: Bacteria
Description: partial 16S ribosomal RNA
Rfam family: Bacterial small subunit ribosomal RNA
Source: RNAcentral